UACGUAGGGUGCAAGCGUUAAUCGGAAUUACUGGGCGUAAAGCGUGCGCAGGCGGCUUUGCAAGACAGAUGUGAAAUCCCCGGGCUUAACCUGGGAACUGCAUCGGAAACUGAUCGGCUUGAAGAUGGGAGAGGGUAGUGGAAUUCCCGGUGUAGUGGUGAAAUGCGUAGAUAUCGGGAGGAACACCAGUGGCGAAGGCGACUACCUGGCCCAUUCUUGACGCUGAGGCGCGAAAGCUAGGGGAGCGAACGGG
Molecule: ribosomal RNA, 253 nt
Filed under: uncultured bacterium
Lineage: Bacteria
Description: partial 16S ribosomal RNA
Rfam family: Bacterial small subunit ribosomal RNA
Source: RNAcentral